Long non-coding RNA from Dendrobium catenatum, 1002 nucleotides. RefSeq lists it as uncharacterized. The record is from RefSeq and is a predicted model, not a curated record. NCBI's taxonomy places the organism in Eukaryota, Viridiplantae, Streptophyta, Magnoliopsida, Asparagales, Orchidaceae. The transcript is spliced from 2 exons.
AAGAUGAAAAUUCAGUAAAUUUUAAUCCAAGUAUAAUGCAGUUAAUUAUCAUUAACAUGAAUUUAGCUUAACUGUGCUUUUGAAUGAAUCAGAUAUAGUAGUAGCUUGCAUAUACAUUGAUCUUAUAAAACUUACAUAUACAUUUAUCAUUGAAUUUCAUUCUUGAAAAUUUUCAAUUCCAUAUUUUCUUACUGCAAUCAAAUGCCAGUUUUACUAAUCUUGGCCGUUGUAUAAGUAUCUAUAUUUGUUUGAGCAUAGAUUGAAUUUACUGAGCAUAGACUCUCUCGGCUCGACUCUCAAUCCCUAGGGUUUGCAAUCCACGAUUUCCAACCUCCCAUGGGUGCUGAUGGUGAUUCCGGCAACUCGUUCGUCGCUGACAGAUCGAAGUUCUCUUGAAUUUAUAUUGUAUCAACUUAACUAGGGAACAUCUAUUCCAUUUGAAUUUCAUAUUGUAGUAACUUCCUAGAGAACUUAUAUUCUACAAUUUUUGUUUAUUGAAUUACUUAAUGAAUUUCUUAGAUCUCACUGGUUAUGGAGUGCAAGGAAAUGACCCAUCAUGCCUACGAGUAUUCCUUUUGCUAAUUUUAAGUACAGUCUCUCAAUCUGGAUAUGCUGGUUUGCAAGAAUAAGUUGUUUGGAUGCAUCAAUAGGGCAUAGACUCAUCUAUGGAUUUAAUUAGGUUGGAUUUGGAUCAACUACGUAGCAUAUUCAUCUGAAGCACGUCUAGGCUUGCAAAUCAAAUUAUGUUCAAGUAUGUUCCCUUGCUGCUCAAUUAGCAGCUUUCAACUAGCAUGUUGCACUAUGGAUUUAAUCAUUUUUCUAUAUGACUAUUGUAGAUGUAUAUUAAUAAUGGAUGUGGUUGUUAUUCCUACUUCUGUUGUUGUGGUUGUUAUCAAAUAUCUAUGUUAAGUGCUUAGGUAUGUAUAUUCAAGUACAUUCUUCUUUUUUCAUGUUAUAUUUUUUAUUGAUAAUUCAAAAUGAAAAUUUUGAAGCUGGCAGUAA